Molecule: transfer RNA, 73 nt
Filed under: Synechococcus phage S-SSM4
Lineage: Duplodnaviria; Heunggongvirae; Uroviricota; Caudoviricetes; Pantevenvirales; Kyanoviridae
Also listed under: 1 other name
Description: Cyanophage S-SSM4 tRNA
Rfam family: tRNA
About the family: Transfer RNA (tRNA) molecules are approximately 80 nucleotides in length. Their secondary structure includes four short double-helical elements and three loops (D, anti-codon, and T loops). Further hydrogen bonds mediate the characteristic L-shaped molecular structure. tRNAs have two regions of fundamental functional importance: the anti-codon, which is responsible for specific mRNA codon recognition, and the 3' end, to which the tRNAs corresponding amino acid is attached (by aminoacyl-tRNA synthetases). tRNAs cope with the degeneracy of the genetic code in two manners: having more than one tRNA (with a specific anti-codon) for a particular amino acid; and 'wobble' base-pairing, i.e. permitting non-standard base-pairing at the 3rd anti-codon position.
Source: Rfam by way of RNAcentral
GGUCCAGUAGCUCAGCGGAAAGAGCAACUGCCUUCUAAGCAGUUGGCCAUAGGUUCAAAUCCUAUCUGGAUCG